AAACAUCUGAGCUCAGUGUGGGGGUGAGGGUAGGCUGAGAGGAAGCUCCGAAUGGAGAGAUCAAGAUUUAGAGGCAUAAAAAUAAGAGAUGCAUUGGAAGUGCUCCAGGAGGUAAAAAACAUGAGCUGAGAAGAGCCAGAGGAACAUUUUUGAAGAGGACUGGACACGUUCAGCUCCAGGAGAGGCAGUCGGUUUGCAGACCUAAGUCCAGCAGUAGAGAAGCUCCUCCUGGGGCCUUGGAGGUCACGCCAUGCCCCAGGAGGGCAGGUGCCCAGGCCAGAUGGAUAACCUGGUUACCUUUCCUGGAUUAAGGGGAGAGAAUACUUGGAGACAGUCACCUGUGUGGACUGAAGAGUGUGGUAUCUGGUAUGUGGAGGCUGGGGAGCAAGGAGAGUGAGGAAGAGCAGACAGCUGCUCUAGGAUGGUCCAUGCAUCUGGGUAAUGAUGAAGAUAAAACAGAAAUUAUCUGCUGGUCCUGGACUGACGACCACAGCAGCUGCCAGCUACUCUGCUCCCCUUUUGUGAGUAAGUGAAAGUGGUGGCAGGUGGGAAUUACUUUUCAAAGCUAAUUAGCUGGGUGUUAAUUCUCAUCAGAUGCUUAACAUAUCAGUGAAGUACAACCUGCAGCCCCAGUAAAUUUGCUUGCCCCACUGAUACCAUUCACUAUAAGUUAUUUAAGUCCUUCUCAGCUGUUUGAAUGCUCGUUUCAGGUUAGGCUUUGCAAGGAUUUGUUAAUUUGCUUCUGGUACUGCCAGAAUGCAUCAGGGCCAUUUCCAGCUAGAAGGAGACAUGCUUCCUGCUCCCCAGGCUGUAACGUGAAGCUGUUCCUACAUGAGAACCCUGAAGAAAAAGGAAAAGAGAGGCCCAUUUGCACGGCCUAUUUGUCUUUUUCUCUGUCACUAAUGGUAGCGGUGAAUGAAUGCGUACAGGAGCUGAGAACUGUGAAAUUUGUUUGUCUUGUAUGUGAAUGAGGAGUCUUCUGAUAAUAUUCCAGAAUAGAAAGUAGAUAAGGUGUUUUUUUGAAGAAAUCAGUGUAGAGAUUCUAGUGUAUCUCAUGAUUUUACAUUAAAUUUAUUGUUAUCUGAUUGAUUAGCACUCAAACUGUGUCACAACUCUAUCAGAUUCCCUCUUUUGUACAUUAAGAAAUAAUUCUAAUAAAUGUGGGUUAUUUUUAUUCUAAACA
Molecule: long non-coding RNA, 1183 nt
Filed under: Anser brachyrhynchus (Pink-footed goose)
Lineage: Eukaryota; Metazoa; Chordata; Aves; Anseriformes; Anatidae
Description: lncRNA (ENSABRG00000000590.1)
Source: RNAcentral